This 379-nucleotide ribosomal RNA is filed under the name uncultured bacterium. RNAcentral describes it as "bacterial SSU rRNA". It matches the Rfam family "Bacterial small subunit ribosomal RNA", at positions 527 to 905 of the family's 1533-position model. The record is from RNAcentral.
GUAUGGUGCAAGCGUUAUCCGGAUUUACUGGGUGUAAAGGGAGCGCAGGCGGUACGGCAAGUCUGAUGUGAAAUCCCGGGGCUCAACCCCGGUACUGCAUUGGAAACUGUCGGACUAGAGUGUCGGAGGGGUAAGUGGAAUUCCUAGUGUAGCGGUGAAAUGCAUAGAUAUUAGGAGGAACACCAGUGGCGAAGGCGGCCUGCUGGGCUUUAACUGACGCUGAGGCACGAAAGCGUGGGUAGCAAACAGGAUUAGAUACCCUGGUAGUCCACGCUGUAAACGAUGAUUACUAGGUGUGGGGGGUCUGACCCCUUCCGUGCCGGAGUUAACACAAUAAGUAAUCCACCUGGGGAGUACGGCCGCAAGGUUGAAACUCAAA